AUUGAACGCUGGCGGCAGGCCUAACACAUGCAAGUCGAGCGGAUGAAGGGAGCUUGCUCCUGGAUUCAGCGGCGGACGGGUGAGUAAUGCCUAGGAAUCUGCCUGGUAGUGGGGGAUAACGUCCGGAAACGGGCGCUAAUACCGCAUACGUCCUGAGGGAGAAAGUGGGGGAUCUUCGGACCUCACGCUAUCAGAUGAGCCUAGGUCGGAUUAGCUAGUUGGUUGGGUAAAGGCCUACCAAGGCGACGAUGCGUAACUGGUCUGAGAGGAUGAUCAGUCACACUGGAACUGAGACACGGUCCAGACUCCUACGGGAGGCAGCAGUGGGGAAUAUUGGACAAUGGGCGAAAGCCUGAUCCAGCCAUGCCGCGUGUGUGAAGAAGGUCUUCGGAUUGUAAAGCACUUUAAGUUGGGAGGAAGGGCAGUAAGUUAAUACCUUGCUGUUUUGACGUUACCAACAGAAUAAGCACCGGCUAACUUCGUG
RNAcentral lists this ribosomal RNA (484 nucleotides) under uncultured bacterium. Its description in RNAcentral is "partial 16S ribosomal RNA". It matches the Rfam family "Bacterial small subunit ribosomal RNA", at positions 30 to 507 of the family's 1533-position model. The record is from RNAcentral.